CACAAGCGAAGAAGCAUGUGCACAAGCGAAGAAGCAUGUGGUUUAAUUCGAAGCAACGCAAGAACCUUACCAGGUCUUGACAUCCUUUGACCACUCUAGAGAUAGAGCUUCCCCUUCGGGCAAAGUGACAGGUGGUGCAUGGUUGUCGUCAGCUCGUGUCGUGAGAUGUUGGGUUAAGUCCCGCAACGAGCGCAACCCUUAUUGUUAGUUGCCAUCAUUUAGUUGGGCACUCUACCGGACGCAACGCGUGCGGGAUGCACGCUCAAAUCAUCAUGCCCCUUAUGCACCUGGGCUACACACGCUGCUCAAUGGGAAGUACAACGAGUCGCAAAGUCGCGAGGCUAAGCUAAUCUCUUAAAGCUUCUCUCAGUUCGGAUUGUAGGCUGCAACUCGCCUACAUGAAGCCGGAAUCGCUAGUAAUCGCGGAUCAGCACGCCGCGGUGAAUACGUUCCGGCCUGUACACACCGCCCGUCACACCACGAGAGUUUGUAACACCCGAAGUCGGGUGAGGUAACCUUUUGGAGCCAGCCGCCUAAGGUGGGAGAUUGAUUGGGGGUGAAGUCGUAACAAGGUAGCCGUAUCGGAAGGUGCGCUGGAUCACCUUCCUUUCUAAGGAAUAUUACGGAGACUACACUGUUUGUUUUAUACUUUAUUCAGUUUUGAGAGGUCUACUCUCAAAAAUAAAUCGGGGCCUUAGCUCAGCUGGGAGAGCGCCUGCUUUGCACGCAGGAGGUCAGCGGUUCGAUCCGCUAGGCUCCAUUAACAACAUUAGUUGUUAAAACAUUUUGUUCAUUGAAA
RNAcentral lists this ribosomal RNA (799 nucleotides) under Enterococcus hirae. The stretch from base 1 to 609 matches the Rfam family "Bacterial small subunit ribosomal RNA", at positions 900 to 1533 of the family's 1533-position model. Lineage: Bacteria; Bacillati; Bacillota; Bacilli; Lactobacillales; Enterococcaceae. The record is from RNAcentral.